RNAcentral lists this ribosomal RNA (840 nucleotides) under uncultured Psychrobacter sp. Its description in RNAcentral is "bacterial SSU rRNA". It matches the Rfam family "Bacterial small subunit ribosomal RNA", at positions 38 to 871 of the family's 1533-position model. The record is from RNAcentral. Lineage: Bacteria; Pseudomonadati; Pseudomonadota; Gammaproteobacteria; Moraxellales; Moraxellaceae.
GGCGGCAGGCUUAACACAUGCAAGUCGAGCGGAAACGAUGAUAGCUUGCUAUCAGGCGUCGAGCGGCGGACGGGUGAGUAAUACUUAGGAAUCUACCUAGUAGUGGGGGAUAGCACGGGGAAACUCGUAUUAAUACCGCAUACGUCCUACGGGAGAAAGGGGGCAACUUGUUGCUCUCGCUAUUAGAUGAGCCUAAGUCGGAUUAGCUAGAUGGUGGGGUAAAGGCCUACCAUGGCGACGAUCUGUAGCUGGUCUGAGAGGAUGAUCAGCCACACCGGGACUGAGACACGGCCCGGACUCCUACGGGAGGCAGCAGUGGGGAAUAUUGGACAAUGGGGGAAACCCUGAUCCAGCCAUGCCGCGUGUGUGAAGAAGGCCUUUUGGUUGUAAAGCACUUUAAGCAGUGAAGAAGACUCUUCGGUUAAUACCCGGAGACGAUGACAUUAGCUGCAGAAUAAGCACCGGCUAACUCUGUGCCAGCAGCCGCGGUAAUACAGAGGGUGCAAGCGUUAAUCGGAAUUACUGGGCGUAAAGCGAGCGUAGGUGGCUUGAUAAGUCAGAUGUGAAAUCCCCGGGCUUAACCUGGGAACUGCAUCUGAAACUGUUAGGCUAGAGUAGGUGAGAGGGAAGUAGAAUUUCAGGUGUAGCGGUGAAAUGCGUAGAGAUCUGAAGGAAUACCGAUGGCGAAGGCAGCUUCCUGGCAUCAUACUGACACUGAGGCUCGAAAGCGUGGGUAGCAAACAGGAUUAGAUACCCUGGUAGUCCACGCCGUAAACGAUGUCUACUAGUCGUUGGGUCCCUUGAGGACUUAGUGACGCAGCUAACGCAAUAAGUAGACCG